Molecule: long non-coding RNA, 2678 nt
Organism: Pipra filicauda (Wire-tailed manakin)
Lineage: Eukaryota; Metazoa; Chordata; Aves; Passeriformes; Pipridae
Exons: 2
Source: RefSeq, a predicted model, not a curated record
GAGUGCCCGCCCGGGCCGGGAGAGCGCCGGGCUUUGGGCACAUUGAGAGUAACGUGCCGGCUGGCGGGGUACGCUGCACAUCUGGCUCAGGGAAGUCACGAUACGUUCUUAAGACUGGUAGACCAAGAAAGAUCGCCGAUCUAGAGACGUACACGGCCUCUAGCAAGUUACAGGAUCCAUAAAAGAGAAGUGCAAGAGCAUAACGACAAAGUUGUCACAAGAAUUAAUAGCUAUAACUGGCCAGGAGUAAAUUCAAGCUAGAGAUGAGGGAGAGGUGGUAUAAUCAAUGCACUUGGCCCGAGUUUCUAUCCACAGGGCAGGAAAAUGAGGAGAGAGAUGGGGUGUGAGCUCAGGAUCUCUUCCAAAUGUGGUAAAAGACCACCUGUUGCUUGAAGAGAAAAAACAGUAAUUACAUCUUAAAAGUGCUAUUUUAACUAGGCCAGUACUCCAUCUAGUCACCAGUUAUAAUAUUAAGAUGCAUAAAAAAGACAUUUCAGAGCAAAUGUUGCCAUGUACCUAAGUUUAGAAUCCCACACCCCACAUGACAGGAAAAAAGCAGAACUACUUUCUUAUCACAAGAUUAGGAAACCUAAAAGCUAUUUAGCAGCCUGAAAGAACAACAGCAACAUGUUCCUUUGCUGAAGCCUAUUUGGACAAUAUAUUUUGUGUGGCAUAUAUUAAUGGCGGUGAAGUUGAAAAAUCCGUAAGAACUACCUUCAUCUUUUUCUGUCUACCUCCAGAAAAAGACAUAAACAUAAAUCCUUCUCAUAUAUAUUACCUCUUGAGCAGCCUUACCCCUCUCUCAAAAAAUAAAAAAAAAGGAAGAGCACUUGCAAGUCAUCCUGAGUUCACGAAAGGACAAUAACAAAAGCAUGAUAUAUGCAAAAAACAGUAACAGCAUAUGGUUGCUUGUUCUUUUCUUUGUGUGGAGGCACUUGGAAACCUCUGGGCUGGUUAGCAAAACUUCUGUGGAUAUAGGGCAAGAAAUUUGGUAAAAAUAGCCUGGCCUCCCAGCUUCAUAAUGCAGAACCUUUUGUUGUUGUUGUUGUUGUAUGACCAGGAAAUACCAGGAAAUAAGUAAGAUCGUUGUUUAGGAAGAGUAAGGUGAAAUGCGUACUGGUGUUAUUUGCAAGAAGGCUUCUAGCUUGAUGUUCCACAAGACUGAGAAAUCACAUCUUGUUCUGCAAGGAAAAUGAGAUAAUUCUAUCCCAUGACAUUGGAAAUUUCAUUAUAGCACAUGCCUGUGCUUUGUAUUUCUAGAAAAAGAAGUCAGAGGGGAGUAAGUUUCACAAGGUUUGUUCUGAACUGAAAUUCAGAAAGUUUAGAGUUUAGCAGUGUCAUAGACUUCUCUUGGGAGUCUGGAAUACCUGAUACUUUCAUCUGCCUCCCUGGCUGCCUCACUGUACUGUGCUGCUGUCUGUAUGGCUCGGAACUCAGUUCCUGAGUCUCCACAGUUUACAAUAUGGGAAAAUUAUCACUGAAGUCUGACAUUUUGAAGAAAAUAUGGGUUGUGGUUGUUAGGAGAAGGUAAAGGUUACCAGCAAGAGACAAGAAGAGAAAUGGAGGAAGGAAAAAGGAGCAGGAAGAGGAUGACUGAGACAGAGUGAACCAUUAUAUCCUCACUGCAGUACUGGUCUUCCAAAAAAGUCUCCAAGUUCAGCUCCUAUUUUGAUCAUAGUGGAAAAAAAGAGGAAGGCUGCCAGCCUGGAUAGGGGGGAUAGUCAGGGGGAGUCAAGGAAUUGAAUGGAGAACACAGAGGGCAGUAGCAAUAACCAAAGAAUUUUUAAAUAUAUGUGGAAAGAUAGUGAGUCCAAAUGGAUCACCCCAGAACAGCAGGCUGGAGAGAAUCCAAAUUCUUGAAUGUCAUGUGACAGCAGCUCGUCUUCCUCUCCCCAAAUCCAAGUUUAUAGACAGCAUGUUACGCUGUUUAUAAUGAGGGGACUGAGUUCCUGUGCUGGGGCUGGCUGCUCAGUGAAACAGCAGAUCAAUGUCUGCACCAACACCACCUCAGCCCUCUAGAACCUAGACAGGCUCUUGCACUGCAUCUGGCAGCUCCUCAUUUUCUAACACUGCUUGUUACCCCACUCACCCUCAAGUGGACUAAAAGUACUUUUAAUACAGGACUGCAAUCCUUGGCUUAAACAUGUCAUUCCCUCCCUGUGGCUGUAUGCCAACAUUUAAACUGCAGGGUGAUGAAUGGACAUAACUCUAAGGGAAAAUGCAGAGCUUAAGGAACUAGCUAUUCCUUGUAGGAAUAUGGACUGAAAAGUGGAGCAGGUGGAGUAGUGCCAAUAGUGUGCAGAGCACCGACAUGAAUGCUGAGCUCACAUUAACACACUGUGCAGCAGAGUGGACUUUUUCCAUCAAGAUCACACACUUCCAUUAAUUAUUACACAGAAUAUACACUCCUACUAUGCUAUACCAACAUUUCCACACAGAGUUCAGUGCCAGUGCAAACCUCCUCUCUACACUGUCUUUUAUCUCAGCACAGCUUUAUUUUCUUGCAACUGCUUUAGGAAAACUGUUUUUUAAUAUCCUGCUUCUAGAAUAUUAGAUUAGAUUAUACUUUGUUAUUAUCACUUUUGCUGUAACAUAAAUUUGUUCAUAUGUGCAUACUUCCAUCUCCUGGACUGAAUGUAUAUUGCACUUUCUGGCAAUACUGAUGUGUCUUAUGGCUA